UUGCUCUUCAACGAGGAAUGCCUAGUAAGCGCGUGUCAUCAGCAUGCGUUGAUUACGUCCCUGACCUUUGUACACACCGCCCGUCGCUACUACCGAUUGAAUGGCUCAGUGAGGCGUUCGGACUGGCUCGGGGAGGUUGGCAACGACCACCCCAAGCCGGAAAGUUCGUCAAACUCGGUCAUUUAGAGGAAGUAAAAGUCGUAACAAGGUCUCCGUAGGUGAACCUGCGGAGGGAUCAUUACACAAAUACAAUAUGAAGGCUUCGGCUGGAUUAUUUAUUUCACCCUUGUCUUUUGCGCACUUGUUGUUUCCUGGGCGGGUUCGCCCGCCACCAGGACCACACCAUAAACCUUUUUUGUUAAUGCAGUCAGCGUCAGUACAACAAAUGUAAAUCAUUUACAACUUUCAACAACGGAUCUCUUGGUUCUGGCAUCGAUGAAGAACGCAGCGAAAUGCGAUACGUAGUGUGAAUUGCAGAAUUCAGUGAAUCAUCGAAUCUUUGAACGCGCAUUGCGCCCUUUGGUAUUCCAAAGGGCAUGCCUGUUCGAGCGUCAUUUGUACCCUCAAGCUUUGCUUGGUGUUGGGCGUUUUGUCUUUGCUCGCCAAAGACUCGCCUUAAAACGAUUGGCAGCCGACCUCUUGGUUUCGCAGCGCAGCACAAUUUUGCGCUUGCAAAUCAGCAAGUUGGCACUCCAUCAAGAACAUUUUCUUACGUUUGACCUCGGAUCAGGUAGGGAUACCCGCUGAACUUAAGCAUAUCAAUAAGCGGAGGA
This 773-nucleotide ribosomal RNA is filed under the name uncultured fungus. RNAcentral's name for it is "eukaryotic LSU rRNA". The stretch from base 1 to 241 matches the Rfam family "Eukaryotic small subunit ribosomal RNA", at positions 1593 to 1831 of the family's 1831-position model. The record is from RNAcentral. Lineage: Eukaryota; Fungi.